GAUGAACGCUAGCGGCAGGCCUAAUACAUGCAAGUCGAACGGGAUCCAGAUCAAAGCUUGCUUUGGUUUGGUGAGAGUGGCGUACGGGUGCGUAACGCGUGAGCAACCUACCCUUGUCAGGGGGAUAGCCCGGCGAAAGUCGGAUUAAUACCGCAUGACAUCAUUGAGAGGCAUCUUUCGAUGAUCAAAGAUUUAUCGGACAAGGAUGGGCUCGCGCGACAUUAGCUAGUUGGUAAGGUAACGGCUUACCAAGGCUGCGAUGUCUAGGGGCUCUGAGAGGAGAAUCCCCCACACUGGUACUGAGACACGGACCAGACUCCUACGGGAGGCAGCAGUAAGGAAUAUUGGUCAAUGGACGGAAGUCUGAACCAGCCAUGCCGCGUGCAGGAAGACGGCCCUAUGGGUUGUAAACUGCUUUUAUACGGGAACAAACGUCGGUACGUGUACCGGUCUGAGUGUACCGUAAGAAUAAGGAUCGGCUAACUCCGUG
This 490-nucleotide ribosomal RNA is filed under the name uncultured bacterium. Its description in RNAcentral is "partial 16S ribosomal RNA". It matches the Rfam family "Bacterial small subunit ribosomal RNA", at positions 28 to 507 of the family's 1533-position model. The record is from RNAcentral.